CUUUUUCUUCCGGUUGAGUCUAGUUUGUCUUCACUCUUUGAACACUUGGAGACAGGAAUUAAUUCCCCUGGUCACUGUGUCACUCAUUUGUCAGCUCACUCGGCUGCUCACCACAUCCAUGUGUUCCCAUCUUUAUUUAGCUCAGCCUUUUUUUUUUCAAGCAAGAAGGGAGAUUUCUUAGGAGAACAUAGACAGCCCAAGGACAAGCAGAGAAUAGAGUAGCUGGUCCUCCCCAAAGAUGGGAGCCAGCAACUGUUUAAGACAUGAGAAGCCAAGCCUGCUGUAUCUUUUGGCCAUUCUGGCGUCACACAUUCACUCACCUCUGCUCCUCUUUGUACAUCACUAGACCCUUCCAUCUUUUAAAUCUCUUGGCUUCUCUCCGUUUCCACUGCCAUGACCCUAGUGUAAAGUACUUUUCUUUUUUUUUUGCCUGGGAAACUGAGGCAGCCUCCUGAAUUUUCUCCCGAAUCCCACCCUUGCCCAUUUCCAAUCUGUGUCUCUCACUACAGCCAGAGGGAUUUUUAGAAAUGAACAGUUUAUUCAACAGAUUUCACUGAUCCUAGGAAAGACGUCAAACUCAUAAGCACGGCAUGGCAGAGGGGCUGCUGAACAGUGAAAACAGAUGUGAGCACACGCGUUAAGAACCAGUGAGUAAUUUACCACUUUUCUUUUCCUUUUUCCACCACAAUGGCAAUAUUCCAGAUAGAGACAGACUGCUCUGUCAACCUGAGUGCAGAGGGGAGAGGAGACGAAGGAGAGCCACAUGUGCAUGUAGUCUGAGACAUAAAGAAACUUUAUUGUAGGCCA
Long non-coding RNA from Leopardus geoffroyi (Geoffroy's cat), 807 nucleotides. RefSeq lists it as uncharacterized. Lineage: Eukaryota; Metazoa; Chordata; Mammalia; Carnivora; Felidae. The record is from RefSeq and is a predicted model, not a curated record. The transcript has 2 exons.